Molecule: transfer RNA, 65 nt
Filed under: Nipponacmea nigrans
Lineage: Eukaryota; Metazoa; Mollusca; Gastropoda; Lottiidae
Description: tRNA-Leu
Source: RNAcentral
CCGAACGUGACAGAAAUUGUAGCAGAUUUAAGCUCUGCCUAUGGGUUAGUACAGCCCCGCUCGGU